AUACGGAGGGAGCAAGCGUUAUUCGGAAUCACUGGGCGUAGAGGACGCGUAGGCGGGUUUGUAAGUCAGGUGUGAAAUCCUACAGCUCAACUGUAGAACUGCACUUGAAACUACAGACCUAGAGUAUGGAAGGGGCAGAUGGAAUUAGUGGUGUAGGGGUAAAAUCCGUAGAUAUCACUAGGAAUACCGAAAGCGAAGGCGAUCUGCUGGGACAUUACUGACGCUGAGGCGUGAAAGCGUGGGGAGCAAACAGGAUUAGAAACCCCGGUAGUCC
Molecule: ribosomal RNA, 274 nt
Filed under: uncultured bacterium
Lineage: Bacteria
Description: partial 16S ribosomal RNA
Rfam family: Bacterial small subunit ribosomal RNA
Source: RNAcentral